AGGGAAUCUUCGGCAAUGGACGGAAGUCUGACCGAGCAACGCCGCGUGAGUGAAGAAGGUUUUCGGAUCGUAAAGCUCUGUUGUAAGAGAAGAACGAGUGUGAGAGUGGAAAGUUCACACUGUGACGGUAUCUUACCAGAAAGGGACGGCUAACUACGUGCCAGCAGCCGCGGUAAUACGUAGGUCCCGAGCGUUGUCCGGAUUUAUUGGGCGUAAAGCGAGCGCAGGCGGUUAGAUAAGUCUGAAGUUAAAGGCUGUGGCUUAACCAUAGUAGGCUUUGGAAACUGUUUAACUUGAGUGCAAGAGGGGAGAGUGGAAUUCCAUGUGUAGCGGUGAAAUGCGUAGAUAUAUGGAGGAACACCGGUGGCGAAAGCGGCUCUCUGGCUUGUAACUGACGCUGAGGCUCGAAAGCGUGGGGAGCAAACAGGAUUAGAUACCCUGGUAGUCCACGCUGUAAACGAUGAGUGCUAGGUGUUAGACCCUUUCCGGGGUUUAGUGCCGUAGCUAGCGCAUUAAGCACUCCGCCUGGGGAGUACGACCGCAAGGUUG
This 549-nucleotide ribosomal RNA is filed under the name uncultured bacterium. Its description in RNAcentral is "bacterial SSU rRNA". It matches the Rfam family "Bacterial small subunit ribosomal RNA", at positions 356 to 896 of the family's 1533-position model. The record is from RNAcentral.